GUGGAGGGGAGAAAAGCACUUUAGAUAGAACCACACAAGUAGAAUAUUCCAAACAGCCUGGAAGCAGAGAACGGCUGAAGGUUCCGAAAUUAACAUUGUCCCAAGAGACAAUCAAAGCCCGAAUAAAUUUCGAGAGAAAUGCGAUGCUCACAAUAGUCAGUCUGGGGGAAAGUGGUAUUCUGAUGCAUUGUGGGAAGAUGGCAGGCAGAGGGUUAAGACCCGCCAGAGCCUUGGUAUCCCCUUCUCUUCCCCCCUCCCCCCCUCCCCCCCCUCAGCCAAGCUCGCAAAAAUGAGCCGAGGGAAUGAGGCAAAAGCAAAGCGGAGAAUCAGCUGAGACCUCGGCCACUUGGGCCAGGCGGGCCUGCAGGCAAAGGCAGCCAGAACCCUGCACAGAGACGACGAGAGGAGACUCCUGCCGGGUUAGCCACUCGCCCUCCCCCAGUGAGCCUCCCGGGCUCGGACCGCCGGCUAGGACCGCCAAGGCUGCGGACAUUUCCGGAGGUUCUAUCAUAAGACAGCAAGUAGUCUGGUGCUGUCCUCGCUUCAGCAGCCCCAUCUAUUCCCUUCCAAAAUGCAGGGUCAUCAAUAGCAAGAACAGCACCAGAGGUAAAAACUUGUACCUCGGCCACUCCAGGCAUCGCAUACACCAGUACGUACAACCAAUAGCUGCUUUCUGAAAAGAAUGGCAGCAUGGCCGGUGAGAGUCAUCAAAGUCCAGCGGUGGGACAAAGGUCAAGAAGAGUGGCGAUGGCUCCGCAUGCAGUGGGGGACCUUAGCAAUCUUUGAAGCCUGACCAAGCUCUGAGCGCUCCACAGUGCCUGCUUGGGUCACCUUCAUAGCUGUUGAAACAGAUUGUUCUCAUCUGUCCAUUCCACCAGGGGAAGUCUUCACAUGCGUGACAUAGACGCUUCCCAAAUUCACUGAUGAAUUUGAAGCCUCUUGAAUACCCUCAACCUGAUUUAGCCCAUUUACCAAAGCAGUUUAACUGGGAUGUACCUUCUGCACAUGGGAUUGCUUCUUGGAGCCACAGAUAAGAGUUGGGUGAUGGUUAGACAUCAAAGAUGGAUGAGCGUCUUUGUGUGGGGUAUUCAGAGAGGACUAGCACCUCUGGUAUGAAGGCUGCUGAGACUUUUUCAAAAGAUCUAGACACUUUAGUCACUUCAUUUGCAUAAUUAUAGUUACUUUCCAAAAUGGUUGCUCUACUUCACAGCUCUAAUAACAAUUAUUAAUGUACUUCUCUUUUUACAAUCUCUCCAAUGUUGACUUGCCAUUUUUUUCCAUUUUUGUUAAUUUGCAGUUUGAAACCUUGGGGUUUUGAUGUGCAUUUCUCUUAUUAGUGAAUUGGAACAGUUUUUCAUUAGAUUAUGAAUACAGCACAGUUCUUUUGAGAACUGUUCUUUUAGCAUUUAUUUAUUGGGGACUAUCUAUCUGAUAUAUAU
Molecule: long non-coding RNA, 1439 nt
Organism: Sarcophilus harrisii (Tasmanian devil)
Lineage: Eukaryota; Metazoa; Chordata; Mammalia; Dasyuromorphia; Dasyuridae
Exons: 3
Source: RefSeq, a predicted model, not a curated record